UAGCAUAUCAAUAAGCGGAGGAAAAGAAACCAACAGGGAUUGCCCUAGUAACGGCGAGUGAAGCGGCAACAGCUCAAAUUUGAAAUCUGGCCUCGGCCCGAGUUGUAAUUUGUAGAGGAUGCUUUUGGCGCGGCGCCUUCCGAGUUCCCUGGAACGGGACGCCAGAGAGGGUGAGAGCCCCGUACGGUUGGAUGCCAAGCCUCUGUAAAGCUCCUUCGACGAGUCGAGUAGUUUGGGAAUGCUGCUCAAAAUGGGAGGUAAAUGCCUUCUAAAGCUAAAUACUGGCCAGAGACCGAUAGCGCACAAGUAGAGUGAUCGAAAGAUGAAAAGCACUUUGAAAAGAGGGUUAAAUAGCACGUGAAAUUGUUGAAAGGGAAGCGCUCAUGACCAGACGUGUGCCUCGUGAAUCAUCCGGCGUUCUCGCCGGUGCACUUCGCCUGGCACAGGCCAGCAUCGGUUUUCCCAGGGGGAUAAAAGCCGCGGGAACGUAGCUCUUCCGGGAGUGUUAUAGCCCGUGGCACAAUGCCCUUGGGGGGACCGAGGCCCGCGCUCCGCAAGGAUGCUGGCGUAAUGGUCAUCAGCGACCCGUCUUGAAACACGGACCAAGGAGUCAAGCAUUAGGGCGAGUGUUUGGGUGUCAAACCCGCACGCGAAAUGAAAGUGAACGCAGGUGAGAGCUUCGGCGCAUCAUCGACCGAUCCUGAUGUAUUCGGAUGGAUUUGAGUAAGAGCCUUACCGCUUGGACCCGAAAGAUGGUGAACUAUGCCUGGAUAGGGUGAAGCCAGAGGAAACUCUGGUGGAGGCUCGCAGCGGUUCUGACGUGCAAAUCGAUCGUCAAAUCUGGGCAUGGGGGCGAAAGACUAAUCGAACCAUCUAGUAGCUGGUUACCGCCAAU
Molecule: ribosomal RNA, 895 nt
Filed under: Annulusmagnus triseptatus
Lineage: Eukaryota; Fungi; Ascomycota; Sordariomycetes; Annulatascales; Annulatascaceae
Description: LSU rRNA
Rfam family: Eukaryotic large subunit ribosomal RNA
Source: RNAcentral